GCUUGUCUCAAAGAUUAAGCCAUGCAUGUCUAAGUAUAAGUAUUAUACAGCGAAACUGCGAAUGGCUCAUUAAAACAGUUAUGGUUUAUUUGAUAAUCGAAUUUUACAUGGAUAACCGUGGUAAUUCUAGAGCUAAUACAUGCUGGUGUGCCUGACUUUUCGGAAGGGCGGUAUUUAUUAGAUACAAAACCAACCCGGGCAACCGGUCCUUUGGUGAUUCAUGAUAACUUUGCGAAUCGCAUAGCUUUAAUGCUGGCGAUGGGUCAUUCAAAUUUCUGCCCUAUCAACUUUCGACGGUAGGAUAGAGGCCUACUGUGGUGAUAACGGGUAACGAAGAAUAAGGGUUCGAUUUCGGAGAGGGAGCCUGAGAAACGGCUACCACAUCCAAGGAAGGCAGCAGG
This 401-nucleotide ribosomal RNA is filed under the name uncultured Blastocladiomycota. RNAcentral describes it as "partial small subunit ribosomal RNA". It matches the Rfam family "Eukaryotic small subunit ribosomal RNA", at positions 30 to 432 of the family's 1831-position model. Lineage: Eukaryota; Fungi; Blastocladiomycota. The record is from RNAcentral.